UAGGGAAUAUUAGAAAUGGACGAAAGUCUGAUCUAGCAACGCCGCGUGAGCGAUGAAGGCCUUCGGGUCGUAAAGCUCUGUCCUCAAGGAAGAUAAUGACGGUACUUGAGGAGGAAGCCCCGGCUAACUACGUGCCAGCAGCCGCGGUAAUACGUAGGGGGCUAGCGUUAUCCGGAAUUACUGGGCGUAAAGGGUGCGUAGGUGGUUUCUUAAGUCAGAGGUGAAAGGCUACGGCUCAACCGUAGUAAGCCUUUGAAACUGGGAAACUUGAGUGCAGGAGAGGAGAGUGGAAUUCCUAGUGUAGCGGUGAAAUGCGUAGAUAUUAGGAGGAACACCAGUUGCGAAGGCGGCUCUCUGGACUGUAACUGACACUGAGGCACGAAAGCGUGGGGAGCAAACA
This 400-nucleotide ribosomal RNA is filed under the name uncultured prokaryote. RNAcentral's name for it is "bacterial SSU rRNA". It matches the Rfam family "Bacterial small subunit ribosomal RNA", at positions 355 to 774 of the family's 1533-position model. The record is from RNAcentral.